GACGAACGCUGGCGGCGUGCCUAAUACAUGCAAGUAGAACGCUGAAGCGAGGAGCUUGCUCUUCUUGGAUGAGUUGCGAACGGGUGAGUAACGCGUAGGUAACCUGCCUUGUAGCGGGGGAUAACUAUUGGAAACGAUAGCUAAUACCGCAUAACAAUGGAUGACACAUGUCAUUUAUUUGAAAGGGACAAUUGUUCCACUACAAGAUGGACCUGCGUUGUAUUAGCUAGUAGGUGAGGUAAUGGCUCACCUAGGCGACGAUACAUAGCCGACCUGGGAGGGUGAUCGGCCACACUGGGACUGAGACACGGCCCAGACUCCUACGGGAGGCAGCAGUAGGGAAUCUUCGGCAAUGGGGGCAACCCUGACCGAGCAACGCCGCGUGAGUGAAGAAGGUUUUCGGAUCGUAAAGCUCUGUUGUAAGUCAAGAACGGGUGUGAGAGUGGAAAGUUCACACUGUGACGGUAGCUUACCAGAAAGGGACGGCUAACUACGUG
This 497-nucleotide ribosomal RNA is filed under the name uncultured bacterium. RNAcentral's name for it is "partial 16S ribosomal RNA". It matches the Rfam family "Bacterial small subunit ribosomal RNA", at positions 28 to 507 of the family's 1533-position model. The record is from RNAcentral.